Molecule: non-coding RNA, 645 nt
Organism: Danio rerio (zebrafish)
Lineage: Eukaryota; Metazoa; Chordata; Actinopteri; Cypriniformes; Danionidae
Source: Ensembl
UCGACAUGCAGGCAACGGCUCUCCUAAUUUGAAAUUCACCUGUCGUGUUUCAUCCAGCGAAUUCAUCCUCGCACAACACUGAGAUGAAGGCGAAGUCACCAUGAAAAGUUAAACGUUUACCGUUAAGCUACAGUAAUUGAUGUUGAAAAACUGAUGCAACCAAUUACUCCUCACUUGAUUAUUCAAGCCCAGAUUGUGAUGGACCUGGAAUGCGACACCAGUUACUCUUAAGACAAGAACCGAAUAAUGCACAGAUGUGGAGGGAUUUGCAGCCAAACUAACUUGAGGGAAGGAACCUUUAGUGUGGGUGAACAAACUACCUGGAUGUCCAACAAAGGCUGCACAAGAGCUCAUUUGAUAGCACACAUUCUGUCCUGUCUACAUCUCUGAUGACCUGGAAGUGCUUCGACAUCAGAUCAUCAGAAGUGCUGCUGCCCUUUUUCACUGUCCCUUUCCACAUCAUUUGGCCUUCAUCAUUUCCUGUCUUGUAGCAGUAUUUUUACCUGUUUUUAAAAUUGUAAUAAUUUUUGAUGCAUUAAUUGUUGACUGGUUUUAAUGAUCAAUUGUUUAUUAGUGUUCUGUUGCUUUGUUAUAUUGAAUUAUUGCUACUGUUUUAGCAUGGUUUACACAAUAAACCUUUAUUUU